Molecule: ribosomal RNA, 497 nt
Filed under: uncultured bacterium
Lineage: Bacteria
Description: partial 16S ribosomal RNA
Rfam family: Bacterial small subunit ribosomal RNA
Source: RNAcentral
GAUGAACGCUGGCGGCGUGCCUAAUACAUGCAAGUCGAGCGAACAGAUAAGGAGCUUGCUCCUUUGACGUUAGCGGCGGACGGGUGAGUAACACGUGGGUAACCUACCUAUAAGACUGGGAUAACUUCGGGAAACCGGAGCUAAUACCGGAUAACAUUUGGAACCGCAUGGUUCUAAAGUGAAAGAUGGUUUUGCUAUCACUUAUAGAUGGACCCGCGCCGUAUUAGCUAGUUGGUAAGGUAACGGCUUACCAAGGCAACGAUACGUAGCCGACCUGAGAGGGUGAUCUGCCACACUUUAACUGAGGCACGGUCCAGGCUCCUACGGGAGGCGGCAGUAGGGAAUCUUCCGCAAUGGGCGGAAGCCUGACGGAGCAACGCCGCGUGAGUGAUGAAGGGUUUCGGCGCGUAAAACUCUGUUAUUAGGGAAGAACAAACUUGUAAGUAACUGUGCACGUCUUGACGGUACCUAAUCAGAAAGCCACGGCUAACUACGUG